Molecule: ribosomal RNA, 253 nt
Filed under: uncultured bacterium
Lineage: Bacteria
Description: partial 16S ribosomal RNA
Rfam family: Bacterial small subunit ribosomal RNA
Source: RNAcentral
UACGUAGGGGGCGAGCGUUGUCCGGAAUCAUUGGGCGUAAAGCGCGUGUAGGCGGCCCGGUAAGUCCGCUGUGAAAGUCCAGGGCUCAACCCUGGGAUGCCGGUGGAUACUGUCGGGCUCGAGUCCGGAAGAGGCGAGUGGAAUUCCUGGUGUAGCGGUGGAAUGCGCAGAUAUCAGGAGGAACACCAAUAGCGAAGGCAGCUCGCUGGGACGGUACUGACGCUAAGGCGCGAAAGCGUGGGGAGCGAACAGG